Molecule: ribosomal RNA, 959 nt
Filed under: uncultured rumen bacterium
Lineage: Bacteria
Description: bacterial SSU rRNA
Rfam family: Bacterial small subunit ribosomal RNA
Source: RNAcentral
AGAGUUUGAUCAUGGCUCAGGAUGAACGCUGGCGGCGUGCAUAACACAUUCAAGUCGAACGGUGAAGUACCUUCGGGUACGGAACAGUGGCGGACGGGUGAGUAACGCGUGAGCAACCUGCCGUAUAGUGGGGGAUAACACAGGGAAACUUGUGCUAAUACCGCAUAACACACGGGGACCGCAUGAUUCUCGUGUCAAAGAGAAAUUGCUGUACGAUGGGCUCGCGUAUGAUUAGACAGUUGGCAGGGUAACGGCCUACCAAAUCAACGAUCAUUAGCCGAACUGAGAGGUUGAACGGCCACAUUGGAACUGAGAAACGGUCCAGACUCCUACGGGAGGCAGCAGUGGGGAAUAUUGGGCAAUGGGCGAGAGCCUGACCCAGCGACGCCGCGUGAGGGAAGAAGGUCUUCGGAUUGUAAACCUCUUUCAGCAGGGAAGAAGGAAGUGACGGUACCUGCAGAAGAAGUCACGGCUAACUACGUGCCAGCAGCCGCGGUAAUACGUAGGUGGCGAGCGUUAUCCGGAAUUACUGGGUGUAAAGGGUGUGUAGGCGGGAUUGCAAGUCAGGCGUGAAAUCAUAAGGCUCAACCUUGUGACUGCGCUUGAAACUGUAAUUCUUGAGAGUGGGAGAGGUAAACGGAAUUCCUGGUGUAGUAGUGAAAUGCGUAGAUAUCAGGAGGAACACCGGUGGCGAAGGCGGUUUACUGGACCACAACUGACGCUGAGACACGAAAGCGUGGGGAGCAAACAGGAUUAGAUACCCUGGCAGUCCACGCCGUAAACGAUGAAUACUACGUGUAGGGUCCGUAGGGAUUCUGUGCCGCAGUUAACACAAUAAGUAUUCCACCUGGGGAGUACGGCCGCAAGGUUGAAACUCAAAGGAAUUGACGGGAGCCCGCACAAGCAGUGGAGUACGUGGUUUAAUUCGACGCAACGCGAAGAACCUUACCGGAGCUUGA